CUGAAUGGGGCAACCCGGCUAUUUAUAGUCAUCUUUAACUGAAUACAUAGGUUAGGGAAGCGAACUCAGGGAACUGAAACAUCUUAGUACCUGAAGGAAAGGACAUCAACCGAGACUCCGUUAGUAGUGGCGAGCGAACGCGGACCAGGCCAGUGGCUGGUUAAGAAAAAUUAGAAUGCAAUGGAAAGUGCAACCGUAGUGGGUGAUAGUCCCGUAUAAGUAACUUCUUUUCCAGUCCUCGAGUAGGGCGGAACACGUGAAAUUCUGUCUGAACAUGGGGGGACCACCCUCCAAGCCUAAGUACUCCUAUCGACCGA
This 317-nucleotide ribosomal RNA is filed under the name uncultured bacterium. Its description in RNAcentral is "bacterial LSU rRNA". It matches the Rfam family "Bacterial large subunit ribosomal RNA", at positions 114 to 487 of the family's 2925-position model. The record is from RNAcentral.